RNAcentral lists this ribosomal RNA (466 nucleotides) under uncultured bacterium. RNAcentral describes it as "partial 16S ribosomal RNA". It matches the Rfam family "Bacterial small subunit ribosomal RNA", at positions 28 to 506 of the family's 1533-position model. The record is from RNAcentral.
GACGAACGCUGGCGGCGUGCUUAACACAUGCAAGUCGAACGGAAAGGCCCUGCUUUUGUGGGGUGCUCGAGUGGCGAACGGGUGAGUAACACGUGAGUAACCUGCCCUUGACUUUGGGAUAACUUCAGGAAACUGGGGCUAAUACCGGAUAGGAGCUCCUGCUGCAUGGUGGGGUUGGAAAGUUUCGGCGGUUGGGGAUGGACUCGCGGCUUAUCAGCUUGUUGGUGGGGUAGUGGCUUACCAAGGCUUUGACGGGUAGCCGGCCUGAGAGGGUGACCGGCCACAUUGGGACUGAGAUACGGCCCAGACUCCUACGGGAGGCAGCAGUGGGGAAUAUGGCACAAUGGGCGGAAGCCUGAUGCAGCAACGCCGCGUGCGGGAUGACGGCCUUCGGGUUGUAAACCGCUUUCGCCUGUGACGAAGCGUGAGUGACGGUAAUGGGUAAAGAAACACCGGCUAACUACGU